GCAGCACAGCGUGUCACCAGAGAGGAAAAGAAUAUCCUUGCUGUGCCAAGAAAGAAAAGACCAUGGAUCUACUAGUUGCAGAUUUCAGCAGUAAUGCCAAGGGGGCAAGAAGUGACCAGCAGAACAAUUAGGCCAUGGCAACAGAAGCCAACUACAACCCAUGUUCCAAUCUAUGACCUCCCUCUCCUGCUGGUACAAGGAUAUGUAUUCCUUAGAGCAAAGGAUGCAAUGUCAAGCAAGUUGUGAUACCUCAACUAUCUACAAUUUAACACCAAGGAAAGAACACUGUUUGGAGAAAUGAGAAAGAUUAUCAUCAGUGUCUUUCAGAAGUCAUCAAAAGAAGAAAAGGAGAAAAGAGAGGAGAAAGCAGAAAGAUCUGGAGUCUGGGAAGUUCAAGAGCAUGGCACCAACAUCUGGCAAGGGCUUUCAUUCUGCAUCAUCUCAUGGAGGAAAAUAAAAAGGAGGCUGGAUGCUCCUGUGAAGUACGUCUUUUAUCUACUUGCUAUCUUUGCAAUUCCUUCAUGCUACAAUGAGAGAUAGAGUUUAAACCUGAAAACAUUCUUGGAAAAGGAAUCUUCAUUAAUUCAAAUAUACCACAAGGUUCUGCCACUGUGGCCAUCACCUGGGAUUGGAGAAAGGCAAAUGGAACAGACCAACUCAGAAUUACAGUCCUCAUUUAUUUCAUCAGAGAUUCACCACCAUCACUACUCUAAGUAUUUUUCUUCUUGAGAAAGAGAAGGAGAGGGAAAGCAAGGAAGAGGAAGAGAAAGAGAAAUGGAUAAAAACAUGGUCAAGUAGAAGAGUCUGUGAUUUCAGGUAAAUCCAGAUUUGGAGCUUAAAUGACUCAAAUGCUUUGCCUACAUUGAUCCUACAUUCAGGCUGCUUACAUAUCUCUUGGCUUCUCUGAGAACCAGAUUGUCACCACUUAAAGUGUCUUCCAGAGUCCUCACGAGUAUCAGAGAAGGCAUAAUCUGUACACGUGGCUUCAUUUAAAAUGAAAAUAUCAAGCAGUGUCAUUUUCACAAGUAUCCCCACACUGUCUGAGGCUGAAAAGAAGAGUGUAGCUAUGCACACUGCAGUGAGAAGAAAAUUUCAGCUCAAUUGGAGGAUGUAAAGAUUGAAAUACCACUGCUCCUAGUUCUGAUGCAAAAUUGAAAAGAGUGCACUGGGUCUUCAAAUGGCAUAUUGACAAGGAGAAAGAGGAAAGGAUGCCCCAGGACAGCCUGGGGGUCAAGGCUGGGCUCAGGCAUGCCUGGACAAGCCAUGCAAGUUGUCUCCGGACUUGAACCACGUAUCAGAGGAGCUAUUUGAGGAGCCACAUCAGCAUACCUGCUUCUGUGGGCCCCCAGGCUGUGGUGCUCAGCCCUUGCACUAUGAAACAUUUUUUUUUUCCAGAAGCCAAAGCUUUGAGCAUCUCCUCCCAUGUAGAGAGUGUAUAUGUUUACGUCCAUGUCUUUCGCCAUGUGAACGCAUGCAACCACCACCUCAAAUAUCAUAAAUCCUCUCUCUCCCCCUUUCUGUCUGCCUGUUUAUCUACAAUCUGUCUAUUUAAAUUCUUUUUAAACAAGAAGGGAAUAUCUUUAUGCCUGUUUGUAGGGAUAUUCUACAUCCAUCUGUUAUUUACAUCAUUCGUUUUCCUGAGGUGUCUCCAACAAAUCCUGGCUGGAUGCACUGUAUGUGUUAUUAAUAAAACAGCUGUAAAAA
Homo sapiens (human) is the source of this 1704-nucleotide long non-coding RNA. Ensembl annotates it as long intergenic non-protein coding RNA 1539. The record is from Ensembl. NCBI's taxonomy places the organism in Eukaryota, Metazoa, Chordata, Mammalia, Primates, Hominidae.